RNAcentral lists this ribosomal RNA (726 nucleotides) under uncultured bacterium. RNAcentral's name for it is "bacterial SSU rRNA". It matches the Rfam family "Bacterial small subunit ribosomal RNA", at positions 64 to 787 of the family's 1533-position model. The record is from RNAcentral.
GAGCGGCAGCGCGGGGCAACCUGGCGGCGAGCGGCGAACGGGUGAGUAAUACAUCGGAACGUACCCAGUUGUGGGGGAUAGCCCGGCGAAAGCCGGAUUAAUACCGCAUACGACCUGAGGGUGAAAGGGGGGGAUCGCAAGACCUCUCGCAGUUGGAGCGGCCGAUGGCGGAUUAGCUAGUUGGUAGGGUAAAGGCCUACCAAGGCGACGAUCCGUAGCUGGUCUGAGAGGACGACCAGCCACACUGGAACUGAGACACGGUCCAGACUCCUACGGGAGGCAGCAGUGGGGAAUUUUGGACAAUGGGGGCAACCCUGAUCCAGCCAUUCCGCGUGAGUGAAGAAGGCCUUCGGGUUGUAAAGCUCUUUCGGCAGGAACGAAACGGUGUCCCCUAAUACGGGAUGCUAAUGACGGUACCUGAAGAAGAAGCACCGGCUAACUACGUGCCAGCAGCCGCGGUAAUACGUAGGGUGCGAGCGUUAAUCGGAAUUACUGGGCGUAAAGCGUGCGCAGGCGGUUAUGUAAGACAGAUGUGAAAUCCCCGGGCUUAACCUGGGAACUGCGUUUGUGACUGCAUAACUCGAGUGUGGCAGAGGGGGGUGGAAUUCCACGUGUAGCAGUGAAAUGCGUAGAGAUGUGGAGGAACACCGAUGGCGAAGGCAGCCCCCUGGGUCAACACUGACGCUCAUGCACGAAAGCGUGGGGAGCAAACAGGAUUAGAUACCC